This 475-nucleotide ribosomal RNA is filed under the name Haloferax sp. HA9. Its description in RNAcentral is "bacterial SSU rRNA". It matches the Rfam family "Archaeal small subunit ribosomal RNA", at positions 878 to 1343 of the family's 1478-position model. Lineage: Archaea; Methanobacteriati; Methanobacteriota; Halobacteria; Halobacteriales; Haloferacaceae. The record is from RNAcentral.
UUGGUCACCGGAGGAGCCUGCGGUUUAUUGGACUCAACGCCGGACAUCUCACCAGCUCCGACUAUAGUAAUGACGGUCAGGUUGAUGACCUUGCCACGACGCUAUAGAGAGGAGGUGCAUGGCCGCCGUCAGCUCGUACCGUGAGGCGUCCUGUUAAGUCAGGCAACGAGCGAGACCCGCACUUCUAAUUGCCAGCAACAGUUUCGACUGGUUGGGUACAUUAGAAGGACUGCCGCUGCUAAAGCGGAGGAAGGAACGGGCAACGGUAGGUCAGUAUGCCCCGAAUGAGCUGGGCUACACGCGGGCUACAAUGGCCGAGACAAUGGGUUGCUAUCUCGAAAGAGAACGCUAAUCUCCUAAACUCGGUCGUAGUUCGGAUUGAGGGCUGAAACCCGCCCUCAUGAAGCUGGAUUCGGUAGUAAUCGCAUUUCAGAAGAGUGCGGUGAAUACGUCCCUGCUCCUUGCACACAAAAAA